CCUACGGGAGACAGCAGUGAGGAAUAUUGGUCAAUGGACGAGAGUCUGAACCAGCCAAGUAGCGUGAAGGAUGACUGCCCUAUGGGUUGUAAACUUCUUUUAUAUGGGAAUAAAAUGUUCCACGUGUGGGAUUUUGUAUGUACCAUAUGAAUAAGGAUCGGCUAACUCCGUGCCAGCAGCCGCGGUAAUACGGAGGAUCCGAGCGUUAUCCGGAUUUAUUGGGUUUAAAGGGAGCGUAGGUGGAUUGUUAAGUCAGUUGUGAAAGUUUGCGGCUCAACCGUAAAAGUGCAGUUGAAACUGGCAGUCUUGAGUACAGUAGAGGUGGGCGGAAUUCGUGGUGUAGCGGUGAAAUGCUUAGAUAUCACGAAGAACUCCGAUUGCGAAGGCAGUUCACUGGACUGCAACUGACACUGAGGCUCGAAAGUGUGGGUAUCAAACAGGAUUAGAUACCCCGGUAGUC
Molecule: ribosomal RNA, 460 nt
Filed under: uncultured bacterium
Lineage: Bacteria
Description: partial 16S ribosomal RNA
Rfam family: Bacterial small subunit ribosomal RNA
Source: RNAcentral